GUUCGUAUGGUCAAGUGGUUACGACGUCGCAUUGUGGUCCGGCGCUUCUCAGCGUCACUGAUCCUGCGGAAUCCCGUGUUCGAUUCACGGUACGGACA
This is a non-coding RNA of Rhodotorula diobovata, 98 nucleotides long. The record is from the annotation of a GenBank genome assembly. NCBI's taxonomy places the organism in Eukaryota, Fungi, Basidiomycota, Microbotryomycetes, Sporidiobolales, Sporidiobolaceae.